This is an RNA transcript of Vigna angularis (adzuki bean), 1619 nucleotides long. RefSeq lists it as uncharacterized. The transcript is spliced from 3 exons. Lineage: Eukaryota; Viridiplantae; Streptophyta; Magnoliopsida; Fabales; Fabaceae. The record is from RefSeq and is a predicted model, not a curated record.
ACUAAAUAUUAUUGUUUAGGAACGGGAGGAGAUCAAGUUGAUCUCCCAUGGGAAGAAGUUAAACAGAUUAGGAUCCUGCCACGAGGGCAUUAAAGACAUCGUUAAUGGUUAUGGUCUAAUGUCUUUGGUGGGCAUAUCAUAUGACUAUGUCGAUAGGGGUCUACUGUUGGCAUUUGUAGAGAGAUUUCAUUUCGAGACUAGCAGUUUCCAUCUCCCCGUGGGUGAGAUGACUUUGACUUUAGAUGAUGUGUCAUUGUUGCUGCACCUCCCAGUUUUAGGGCAGUUCUGUCAUCUAGAGGAAGUAGAUUUUGAAGACAGUAGACACGUCAUUGUGGAGCUUUUAGGCGUGGAUGGCGGGAGAGCUGGUGCUGAGUUAACUGCAGCUCACGGUGUGAAAGUCAGAUUGAGCUGGCUUCGAGACAUCUACGUUGAGCACUGUGAACAACAGCAGUGGGAGUACGCUGCCUGGGCAUACUUGUUGCAUCUAGUUGGAUGCAAUAUAUUUGCUGAUAAGACUGCCACAUCCAUUCGCGUGUCUUAUCUUUUGCUCUUUAGAGACGUACACACAUGUGGUCGAUAUGCUUGGGCCGUUCCUGCACUAGCAUACCUGUAUGACCAGCUAGGAGAUGCCAGCUUGGCUUCGACCAGACAGAUGGCAGGUUAUUUGACUCUGUUACAGAGUUGGAUAUAUGAGCACUUCCCUACAUUGGGAAGAAGGCGUAUGGUGUCUUCGUACAUGGAAGACAAACCUCGUGCUGCAAAGUGGGAGUCACCGAGGCAGGGUUCCACCCUCUUAGAGGUCAAGGUACACUUGGAUGCGCUUACAUAUGAUUCAGUCAUCUGGUACCCUUAUUAGUCACAUCGAGAGAGUCGUCCUUUUUACAGCGUUUGUAUGUUCUCGGGAUGGAUCAGGAUUGGUGAGACAUUGUGUCGACAUUUGCCUGAGCGUGUUUUGAGGCAGUUUGGAUUUCGACAGUCCAUCCCUCGAGACCCACCCGUUGUUGCAGAUGCGGACAUACUGGCGACCGAUGAUGUGUGGUUGCACUAUCGUGAUCACGUUGUUACGGGUGUGUCCGUCAGCAGAUUCCCAUCUGAUUGUGUUGAUGGUUACCUUCGUUGGUUUAGGAUCAUAUCUCAUCCUUACAUUAUUCGUGCUGCUGAUGACGACCGACCGAGUCUUGCUCUCAGACUCCGACGUGACAUUCCUGAUGAAGUACCGCAGCGUCGUAGAUCGGCUUCACAGUCUGGUUUGCUGGGUGUAGUGAGGACAUUUGGUAAAAGGUUACAACAAAUGCUCUCUUGUAGGGAAAUUCCCGAGGGGACAAUAGGAUACACUCAUGCACGAGAGCUACUGGAUUUAGCUGACGCAGCCGUUGAAGAGUACUCACCGACCAGGAUAGCUGCCAGGAAUGUUCGUGACAGGCAUGUUCGUGGAAGACGAUCUACUUCAAAUUGAAUUAGCUUUUAUAGUUUUGCAGACGAAGAUUCAAUUGUUGACUGAAAUGUGUCUACAUGCUCAAAAUAUGAGGGAUCACGCUUUGUAGACCUCUGUUCUCUGAAGUUUUUUCUUUUGUGCACCCUUCGUCUUAACUUUAUGCAAUGGAGGUAUCAUAGAUGUC